Molecule: ribosomal RNA, 254 nt
Filed under: uncultured bacterium
Lineage: Bacteria
Description: partial 16S ribosomal RNA
Rfam family: Bacterial small subunit ribosomal RNA
Source: RNAcentral
UACGUAGGGGGCAAGCGUUGUCCGGAAUUAUUGGGCGUAAAGGGCGCGUAGGCGGUCAGCACAAGUCAGUUGUGAAAUCUCCGGGCUUAACUCGGAAAGGUCAACUGAUACUGUGCGACUAGAGUGCAGAAGGGGCAACUGGAAUUCUCGGUGUAGCGGUGAAAUGCGUAGAUAUCGAGAGGAACACCUGCGGCGAAGGCGGGUUGCUGGGCUGACACUGACGCUGAUGCGCGAAAGCCAGGGGAGCGAACGGG